RNAcentral lists this ribosomal RNA (1463 nucleotides) under Tetrix subulata. RNAcentral's name for it is "bacterial LSU rRNA". It matches the Rfam family "Bacterial large subunit ribosomal RNA", at positions 918 to 2478 of the family's 2925-position model. The record is from RNAcentral. Lineage: Eukaryota; Metazoa; Arthropoda; Insecta; Orthoptera; Tetrigidae.
GCUAGGGCGGCGCGAGCUGUACCAAACCUAACCAAACUCCGAAUACCUAGGAGUACUAUCCGGGAGACAGACGGCGGGUGCUAAGGUCCGUCGUCAAAAGGGAAACAGCCCUGACCUACAGCUAAGGUCCCCAAGUCACGUCUAAGUGGGAAAGCAUGUGGGAAUCCCAAAACAACCAGGAGGUUGGCUUAGAAGCAGCCAUCCUUUAAAGAAAGCGUAACAGCUCACUUGUCUAAAUAAGUUUUUCUGCGCCGAAAAUGUACCGGGGCUAAAGCUGUAUACCGAAGAUGUGAGUGCUUAUUGAUUUCGAUCAAUAGGCGCGGUAGCGGAGCGUUCCGUAAGUCUGUGAAGGUGGUUUGUGAAAACUGCUGGAGAUAUCGGAAGUGAGAAUGCUGACAUAAGUAGCGUAAAAGAGUGUGAAAAACACUCUCACCAAAAAUCUAAGGGUUCCUACGUUAAGUUAAUCUGCGUAGGGUUAGUCGGUUCCUAAGGCGAGUCCGUAAAGGAGUAGUCGAUGGCAAUUAGGUUAAUAUUCCUAAACCUCUUAAGUGUGACGGGUUUCGUAUUUGUAUAGAUCUUAUUGGAUUGAUCUAUGCUUAAAAAAAGCUCCAGGAAAUAGCACUUAUAUUUAUGAGGCCGUACCGCAAACCGACACUGGUGGAUGAGUAGAGUAUACUAAGGUGUUGAAAGAAUGAUGUUGAAGGAACUCGGCAAAUUAUACCUGUAACUUCGGAAGAAGGGUAACCUGCUUUUAGGCAACUAUGAGUAGGUGGCACAAAAUAGGGAGUAGCGACUGUUUACUAAAAACACAGGACUCUGCAAACACGUAAGUGGAAGUAUAGGGUCUGACGCCUGCCCGGUGCUGGAAGGUUAAUAGGAGGGGUGCAAGCUCUAAAUUGAAGCCCCAGUAAACGGCGGCCGUAACACUGACGGUCCUAAGGUAGCGAAAUUCCUUGUCGGGUAAGUUCCGACCCGCACGAAUGGCGUAACGAUUUCUCCACUGUCUCCAACAUCACUUCAGCGAAAUUGAAUUCCCCGUGCAGAUGCGGGGUACCCGCGGUUAGACGAAGAGACCCCGUGCACCUUUACUAUAGCUUUACAUUGCUAUUAAAAGUGUGAUGUGCAGGAUAGGUGGGAGACUUUGAAGUUAUGGCGCUAGCUAUAAUGGAGUCAACCUUGAGAUACCACCCUUUACACUUUUGAUAUCUAACUAUGUUUCAUUAUCUGGAACUAGGACAUUGUAUGGUGGGUAGUUUGACUGGGGCGGUCGCCUCCCAAAAGGUAACGGAGGCGCCCAAAGGUUCCCUCAGCCUGGUCGGCAACCAGGUGUCGAGUGUAAGUGCACAAGGGAGCUUGACUGUGAGAGAGACAUCUCAAGCAGGGACGAAAGUCGGGACUAGUGAUCUGACGGUGGCACGUGGAAGCGCCGUCACUCAACGGAUAAAAGGUACCCCGGGGAUAAC